CGGACACAUCACGUUGAAACACCGGUUCCCGUACAAAUACCAAAGUUAAGCCACGUCGAGCCUGAUCAGUACCUAGAUGAGUGACCGCUUGCGAAUACCAGGUGAUGUAAG
Molecule: non-coding RNA, 111 nt
Organism: Acanthosepion pharaonis
Lineage: Eukaryota; Metazoa; Mollusca; Cephalopoda; Sepiida; Sepiidae
Source: the annotation of a GenBank genome assembly